CCUCUCUCUCCCACAAGCACAGGUCAUUCUUGAAGGCGGCCAGGUACAAGAGUUCCUGGGGGCCACUCCUCUGCCUGCAGCUUCUACCUGCCUUCUCUGCCAAGCCCGUUGCCAUUCUUUCAAGCCAUCCCAUUGUUCAGACCAUCUCCUCAAAGAUCACACCGAGUCCAACUGUCACCUCCACUCCCCAGGCACUCCAUCCUCCUAUGUCCACGACUGGCCAAUUGUUGCUAGGCCUGUUCUUACUCACAUUCAUAACAAUAGCUAGUAUUUAUUGAACACCUACUAUCUGCCAGGCAUCCUUCUGAACCAUCAAUGUCCAACAGAACUUUCUGCGAUGAUGGCAUUAUCUGCUUCGUCCAGUACAGUCAUCACUAGCCACUGAGCACUUGAAAUGCAGCUACCGCAACUGGGGAAUGGCGUCGUUAAUUCAGGGCGGUUCUAAGCCCGUUGCGUUAACUCGUUUAGCCUUCUCAAUAGCUUAUGAGGUAGAUGUAAGUAUGGCCCGGUUUACAAACAUGAAAACAAGGUACCAAAAGUAAAAGAAUUUGCCCAGAGUCUCCCCACGAGCCCGUGGCAGAGCUAGGAUUCCAGAGCGCAGGCCGCCCGGUUCGCACCCACUCUGUUCUUGUCUCUGCUUGUCUGCCUGCCUGUGCUGGGAGACCAACAGCUCCAGGGAGAGAGAGGGGAGGUUCCCUCAUGACUAACCCUUGGUGCUGAUGCCCCGGAGGUCAGUGAUCUUCAUGAGCAUCCUUGGGAACAUGUAGGGCUGGCUGGGCCGCCGCCGGCGGGCAUAGAGCCUCAGGGCUUCCAGCAGUGGCUCCUGCAGCUUGUCUACUUUUUCAGGUUCCUCCAGGUCCAUGCGGUCUACAGGAACAAGCACAGUGCAGUGAAAGAGAAAGAAAUGGGGGACACAGUGACAAGUGGCUGAUCCCCAGCUGUCCCUGACCUAUGGCACUCCAAGCCCCAAACUCUGUCCUAUCAGCCCUUUGCCUUAUUGUUCCUGGGCCUACCCAGGCCACUUCCCCUGCCCCACGCCCUGUACCUUCUCCCCUCUGGUAAAUCACUCCUGCCCACA
Lynx canadensis (Canada lynx) is the source of this 1078-nucleotide long non-coding RNA. RefSeq lists it as uncharacterized. Lineage: Eukaryota; Metazoa; Chordata; Mammalia; Carnivora; Felidae. The record is from RefSeq and is a predicted model, not a curated record. The transcript is spliced from 2 exons.